UCUUUUUGAAUUUUAAUUUAAAGUCUAGCCUGCCCACUGAAAUUAAUUUUAAUGGCCGCAGUAUUUUGACUGUGCAAAGGUAGCAUAAUCAUUAGUUUUUUAAUUGAAAGCUUGUAUGAAAGGUUGGACGAGGUAAAAUCUGUCUCUAUUUAAUUUAUUUUAGAAUUUAAUUUUUAAGUUAAAAAGCUUAAAUUUUAUUAAAAGACGAGAAGACCCUAUAGAUCUUUAUAAUUUUUUUUAUAAAUUUAAUUAUGAAUUAUUUAGAAUUUAUAAUAUAAAUUAUUUUAUUGGGGUAAUAAAAAGAUUAAAAUAAUUCUUUUUUAUUUUUAACAUUAAUUUAUGAAUUUAAUGAUCCAAUUUUAUUGAUUAUAAGAUUAAGUUACCUUAGGGAUAACAGCGUAAUUUUUUUAGAGAGUUCAUAUCGAUAAAAAAGUUUGCGACCUCGAUGUUGGAUUAAAGAUUAGUUUAGGUGUAGAAGUUUAAAUUUUUGGUCUGUUCGACCAUUAAAUCUUUACAUGAUCUGAGUUCAGACCGGCGUAAGCCAGGUCGGUUUCUAUCUUUAAUAAUUUUAAAAUAUUUUAGUACGAAAGGACCAAAUAUUUAAUAUAUUUAUAUUUUAUUUUUUGAAUAUUAUUAAAUUGUUUUGGCAGAUUAGUGUAAUGAAUUUAGAAUUCAUAAAUGUAAUUAUUUUUACAAACAAUACUUGUUUUAUAUAGAUUUAAUUUUUUCUUUAAUUUGUAUAUUUUUAUUAAUUAUUUGUGUUUUAGUUGGGGUAGCAUUUUUAACUUUAUUAGAGCGAAAAGUU
RNAcentral lists this ribosomal RNA (805 nucleotides) under Pseudomigadops n. sp. MSL2007. Its description in RNAcentral is "partial 16S ribosomal RNA". The stretch from base 1 to 585 matches the Rfam family "Bacterial large subunit ribosomal RNA", at positions 1895 to 2925 of the family's 2925-position model. Lineage: Eukaryota; Metazoa; Arthropoda; Insecta; Coleoptera; Carabidae. The record is from RNAcentral.